Molecule: ribosomal RNA, 253 nt
Filed under: uncultured bacterium
Lineage: Bacteria
Description: partial 16S ribosomal RNA
Rfam family: Bacterial small subunit ribosomal RNA
Source: RNAcentral
UACGUAGGGGGCAAGCGUUGUCCGGAAUCAUUGGGCGUAAAGCGCGUGUAGGCGGCUCGAUAAGUCUGCUGUGAAAGUCCAGGGCUCAACCCUGGGAUGCCGGUGGAUACUGUCGAGCUCGAGUCCGGAAGAGGCGAGUGGAAUUCCUGGUGUAGCGGUGAAAUGCGCAGAUAUCAGGAGGAACACCAAUGGCGAAGGCAGCUCGCUGGGACGGUACUGACGCUGAGACGCGAAAGCGUAGGGAGCAAACAGG